RNAcentral lists this transfer RNA (75 nucleotides) under Coriobacteriales bacterium. RNAcentral describes it as "tRNA-Thr". It matches the Rfam family "tRNA". From Rfam's summary of the family: Transfer RNA (tRNA) molecules are approximately 80 nucleotides in length. Their secondary structure includes four short double-helical elements and three loops (D, anti-codon, and T loops). Further hydrogen bonds mediate the characteristic L-shaped molecular structure. tRNAs have two regions of fundamental functional importance: the anti-codon, which is responsible for specific mRNA codon recognition, and the 3' end, to which the tRNAs corresponding amino acid is attached (by aminoacyl-tRNA synthetases). tRNAs cope with the degeneracy of the genetic code in two manners: having more than one tRNA (with a specific anti-codon) for a particular amino acid; and 'wobble' base-pairing, i.e. permitting non-standard base-pairing at the 3rd anti-codon position. The record is from RNAcentral. Lineage: Bacteria; Bacillati; Actinomycetota; Coriobacteriia; Coriobacteriales.
GCUGGUGUGGCGCAAUGGUAGCGCAACUGAUUUGUAAUCAGUAGGCUGUGGGUUCGAGUCCCUCCACCAGCUCCA